Molecule: long non-coding RNA, 400 nt
Organism: Hypanus sabinus (Atlantic stingray)
Lineage: Eukaryota; Metazoa; Chordata; Chondrichthyes; Myliobatiformes; Dasyatidae
Exons: 4
Source: RefSeq, a predicted model, not a curated record
CACGAGCAAAGACUCGCAAGGCGUCUGUGGAGGUCCAAGCUGAGAAGUUGCAGAACCGUAGCUCCCAGCAACAUGAUAGUGAGCCAGACUCAGACACAAAUGUCAAUGAUCUGUGCAAGCCUAGUGAAAGUUCACUGUGUGAUGCCCCUACAUCUGGAGGAGUAUCUGUGAAACGACACCGUGCCACAAAAAAGUUUAGGUUGGUUCCAAAAACAAACAACACGAGGAAGGGGACAGCUUCUUUGGUGCCGCACCAGCUUGACUUUCCAGUUCAUUUCUUACCUAUUGGGAAAACAAAGUUUCCUUUCUUCAACCAAGAGGAGAGCAAAAAGUGGAGGCUGCCCGGAACAAACACUAUCUAUAAUGUUCUUGCUGUGCCCUCAUCCCUCUUAGCAUCAGA